AUCACUUCUCGGCCUUUUGGCUAAGAUCAAGUGUAGAUCACUUUUUCUGAUAGAAAACUAUCUUCACUUGAAGCAGUUUAUUUUCUGAAAAAUGAACAAAGCAACUCAAGAAAAAACUAAUACAUUUUGUUGCGAACAAUA
Bos grunniens (domestic yak) is the source of this 141-nucleotide small nuclear RNA. Its record names the gene U2. It matches the Rfam family "U2 spliceosomal RNA". From Rfam's summary of the family: U2 is a small nuclear RNA (snRNA) component of the spliceosome (involved in pre-mRNA splicing). Complementary binding between U2 snRNA (in an area lying towards the 5' end but 3' to hairpin I) and the branchpoint sequence (BPS) of the intron results the bulging out of an unpaired adenosine, on the BPS, which initiates a nucleophilic attack at the intronic 5' splice site, thus starting the first of two transesterification reactions that mediate splicing. NCBI's taxonomy places the organism in Eukaryota, Metazoa, Chordata, Mammalia, Artiodactyla, Bovidae. The record is from Ensembl.